RNAcentral lists this ribosomal RNA (216 nucleotides) under Glomeromycotina sp. RNAcentral describes it as "partial small subunit ribosomal RNA". The stretch from base 40 to 216 matches the Rfam family "Eukaryotic small subunit ribosomal RNA", at positions 686 to 864 of the family's 1831-position model. The record is from RNAcentral. Lineage: Eukaryota; Fungi; Glomeromycota.
GGGUCAGUAGGUUGGUCGUGUCACCGGUACGUACUGGUCUCACUGAUUCCUCCUUCCUGAAGAACCGUAAUGCCAUUAAUUUGGUGUUGCGGGGAAACAGGACUGUUACUUUGAAAAAAUUAGAGUGUUUAAAGCAAGCUAACGCUUGAAUACAUUAGCAUGGAAUAAUGAAAUAGGACGAUCGAUCCUAUUUUGUUGGUUUCUAGGAUUGACGUA